This 253-nucleotide ribosomal RNA is filed under the name uncultured bacterium. RNAcentral's name for it is "partial 16S ribosomal RNA". It matches the Rfam family "Bacterial small subunit ribosomal RNA", at positions 524 to 776 of the family's 1533-position model. The record is from RNAcentral.
UACGAAGGGGGCUAGCGUUGCUCGGAAUUACUGGGCGUAAAGCGCACGUAGGCGGCUUUCUAAGUCGGGGGUGAAAUCCUGGAGCUCAACUCCAGAACUGCCUUCGAUACUGGAGAGCUCGAGUCCGGGAGAGGUGAGUGGAACUGCGAGUGUAGAGGUGAAAUUCGUAGAUAUUAGGAAGAACACCAGUGGCGAAGGCGGCUCACUGGCCCGGUACUGACGCUGAGGCGCGAAAGCGUGGGGAGCAAACAGG